This 274-nucleotide ribosomal RNA is filed under the name uncultured bacterium. RNAcentral's name for it is "partial 16S ribosomal RNA". It matches the Rfam family "Bacterial small subunit ribosomal RNA", at positions 523 to 796 of the family's 1533-position model. The record is from RNAcentral.
AUACGGAGGGUGCAAGCGUUACUCGGAAUCACUGGGCGUAAAGCGCGCGCAGGCGGGCUGAUAAGUUGGAUGUGAAAGCCUACGGCUCAACCGUAGAACUGCAUCCAAAACUGUCAGUCUAGAGUGUGGGAGAGGAAGAUGGAAUUAGUUGUGUAGGGGUAAAAUCCGUAGAGAUAACUAGGAAUACCAAAAGCGAAGGCAAUCUUCUGGAACACUACUGACGCUGAGGCGCGAAAGCGUGGGGAGCAAACAGGAGUAGAAACCCCAGUAGUCC